Molecule: ribosomal RNA, 1444 nt
Filed under: metagenome
Description: bacterial SSU rRNA
Rfam family: Bacterial small subunit ribosomal RNA
Source: RNAcentral
AGAGUUUGAUCCUGGCUCAGGAUGAACGCUGGCGGCGUGCUUAACACAUGCAAGUCGAACGAGCCUUCGGGCUAGUGGCGGACGGGUGAGUAACGCGUGGGAAUCUGCCCUCAGGAGGGGGAUAACGGCCGGAAACGGCCGCUAAUACCCCAUAUGCCGAGAGGUGAAACGAAUUUCGCCUGGGGAUGAGCCCGCGUCUGAUUAGCUAGUUGGUGAGGUAAUGGCUCACCAAGGCAUCGAUCAGUAGCUGGUCUGAGAGGAUGAUCAGCCACACUGGGACUGAGACACGGCCCAGACUCCUACGGGAGGCAGCAGUGGGGAAUUUUCCGCAAUGGGCGCAAGCCUGACGGAGCAACGCCGCGUGAGGGACGAAGGCCUCUGGGCUGUAAACCUCUUUUCUCAAGGAAGAAGACAUGACGGUACUUGAGGAAUAAGCCACGGCUAAUUCCGUGCCAGCAGCCGCGGUAAUACGGGAGUGGCAAGCGUUAUCCGGAAUUAUUGGGCGUAAAGCGUCCGCAGGCGGCCUUGAAAGUCUGUUGUUAAAGCGUGGAGCUCAACUCCAUUUCAGCAAUGGAAACUACAAGGCUAGAGUGUGGUAGGGGCAGAGGGAAUUCCCGGUGUAGCGGUGAAAUGCGUAGAUAUCGGGAAGAACACCAGUGGCGAAGGCGCUCUGCUGGGCCAUAACUGACGCUCAUGGACGAAAGCCAGGGGAGCGAAAGGGAUUAGAUACCCCUGUAGUCCUGGCCGUAAACGAUGAACACUAGGUGUCGGGAGAAUUAACCCUUCCGGUGUCGUAGCCAACGCGUUAAGUGUUCCGCCUGGGGAGUACGCACGCAAGUGUGAAACUCAAAGGAAUUGACGGGGGCCCGCACAAGCGGUGGAGUAUGUGGUUUAAUUCGAUGCAACGCGAAGAACCUUACCAGGGUUUGACAUCCUGCGAAUCCCUUGGAAACUUGGGAGUGCCUUCGGGAACGCAGUGACAGGUGGUGCAUGGCUGUCGUCAGCUCGUGUCGUGAGAUGUUGGGUUAAGUCCCGCAACGAGCGCAACCCACGUCUUUAGUUGCCAGCAUUCAGUUGGGCACUCUAGAGAGACCACCGGUGAUAAACCGGAGGAAGGUGUGGAUGACGUCAAGUCAUCAUGCCCCUUACAUCCUGGGCUACACACGUACUACAAUGCUACGGACAAAGGGCAGCAAACUCGCGAGAGCUAGCAAAUCCCAUAAACCGUGGCUCAGUUCAGAUCGUAGGCUGCAACUCGCCUACGUGAAGGAGGAAUCGCUAGUAAUCGCAGGUCAGCAUACUGCGGUGAAUACGUUCCCGGGCCUUGUACACACCGCCCGUCACACCAUGGAAGUUGGCCAUGCCCGAAGUCGUUACUCCAACCCGCAAGGGAGGAGGACGCCGAAGGUGGGGCUGAUGACUGGGGUGAAGUCGUAACAAGGUA